This is a long non-coding RNA of Rhea pennata, 1200 nucleotides long. RefSeq lists it as uncharacterized. Lineage: Eukaryota; Metazoa; Chordata; Aves; Rheiformes; Rheidae. The record is from RefSeq and is a predicted model, not a curated record. The transcript has 4 exons.
ACUAAGCAGGUAACUGAAGUUUAACUUUGUGACAGCUUCACUUUAAAUUUUAAGUGGAGUAGAGGUUUGCUGAAUUUUAUUAGUAAGUAGAUGACCACUUUCCCCAGGUUUCCAUGAUUUAUGUUACCUCUUGUAGCUUGCAGGUAUUUGUCUAAAAGAAGCAAAACUGCUUUGAGAAAAAUAACAGGAGAAACGGUCUAUCCUUCACCAUUUUGUCAUCCAAGAAGAGAAAGCUGGACAUUUUAUGAGCUGUUAUUUGAAAUGGUUUGCAGAAUCCAGGAGAUAUCACAGGAUCAGCUAAUAGUGAGAGUUUCAAGAUUUUGUUGAUGAUAACAGCUAAUUGCUGAAAAAACAGAAAGGAGGAGGCUCAUCUGAUAAAAGAAACUAACCAGAAGCUGAUGAAACUGUUUCGUGCAGAGAACAGAAACAGUCAAACAAAUGCUGUGAGAUGGAACAAACAUCACAAAGCAAAAGCCAGAAACCUCGGAAGAUGAAGAACCUGCAGGGGGAUUUUAGUUAAGAAACACAUAUUGACAGAUUUAACAAGAAGAUGAAAAUACCUAGAAGGAACAAAGUGUGACCAGCUCUUCGGUGCUCGUGCUUGGUAACAAGAGACCCAGCUUUCUAGCAGAACAUAAAUAACCGGCACCUACUUCUCCUACAACAGUAAUAGAAAAGACACUUUUUUUUUUAAUGAAAGAUUACGAAUAGUUCACUGACCCAUAUGAGGAAGCAGUCACUGAAGAAUUACUUCACUACUGAAGAAUGAGCAAACGUUUUGAAUAAGAGAAAUGACAUACACCAAAAUUAAAAGUCUUGCCUGCAAUUCUUAAUUUGUGAUAAAAUAAUCUGCAAGUUCAAGGCCUGUUUUGAGCAUACGGUAAUGUUGAGGUGAAGCUUUGCAGAACAGAUCAAUCUGUGGCUAAAAAAGAGCAGCAUCUGAGGAGACAGGAAUCUAUCUCAUCUUUCAGAAAUGAGCCUUAAAGGCUUCUCGCUGCAGGAUCUUUCAGCACUAAUCCCUCUUGUCUGAAAGAUCAAGAAAGGAAAAUGUAGCACUGAAAGUGCAGAUGUAAGUAUAUGAAAAUUGGUGAUCAGGAAUAUAAGAUGCAUAGAAGGGGUCUUUUCUAAAGUCUAUUAGUCAAUAAGAAAAACUACUUUGGUCAUAUAUCGUAUACUAUUUAAUUUGUUUGCUUUCUAUAG